Long non-coding RNA from Anguilla anguilla (European eel), 658 nucleotides. RefSeq lists it as uncharacterized. The transcript is spliced from 3 exons. The record is from RefSeq and is a predicted model, not a curated record. Lineage: Eukaryota; Metazoa; Chordata; Actinopteri; Anguilliformes; Anguillidae.
GGGAAAUGACCACAUGACAGAUAAAAAAGGUAUAUAUAGGCAGUAAGCCAAUGACAUCACUGUCAGCCAAUGAAGUAGGCCAUAGCACAUUGGCCAUUCGAUAAUAUGGAAAAAAAAAAAAAAAAUAAGCAGCCACACGCAACAUGGAAAAGAUUCAAGUCAUCAAGGAUUUUCCCUGGAUAGUUGCAGAUGAACAGGAGGUGCACAUGCGGGAGCCCAGACUCAUUCCGCUAAAAACAAUGACAUCAGACAUCGUAAAAAUGCAGCUGUAUGUAGAGGAAAGGGCUCAGAAGGCUUCUUAACUCGCACUGGGUUUUCCCAUCAUGCCUGGCUGCUGGACUCAUGAUGCUGGAACAUGAGGAGAGAUGACGACCCCUGGGUGUGUGACAGUCAUGUGAUUUAAAAGCAGGCAAUGUUGUAUUCUGGCUGUGAAACAGAGGGCUGAGCUGUGGCUGAAACAGCCAGGAGAAAUGACUGUGGAAUUCAUGCUACAUGUGAUGUUGUGUUGUGUCAUGUGCAUUUUAAGUCAUAAGGUGGGACCUCAUCGCUGGAGAUGUUUUCCACAUUCAUACAUGCACGCGUGCAGCUAAGUUGUCACAGAAAUGCCUUGGAGAAGAAUAUAAGAAUGAGCGAUUUAUAAUUGUUCAACAGAAAGAAG